GCCUAUGGCCACACCAACCUGAACGCACCCAAUCUCAUCUGAUCUUGAAAGCUAAGCCAAGUCAGGCCUGGUUAGUACUUUUGGAU
This 86-nucleotide ribosomal RNA is filed under the name Octodon degus (degu). The record is from RNAcentral. Lineage: Eukaryota; Metazoa; Chordata; Mammalia; Rodentia; Octodontidae.